AAGAGUUAGGGUCCUCGUGGCCCGACCUCCAACCCUUUGUUUAACUAUACCACGUUGCUUCGGCGGGCCCGUCCUCCCUCUUUGGGGGGGACCGCCGGAGGGUCUCAUCCCCCUCUGGUCCGUUGCCUGUCGAUAGCCCAACCACAAAACUCUUGAUACAAACCAUGUCGUCUGAGUCUAAAAUUUUAAUUAAAUUA
RNAcentral lists this unclassified non-coding RNA (197 nucleotides) under uncultured Chaetothyriales. RNAcentral's name for it is "sequence contains ITS1". Lineage: Eukaryota; Fungi; Ascomycota; Eurotiomycetes; Chaetothyriales. The record is from RNAcentral.